This 503-nucleotide small RNA is filed under the name uncultured Glomus. Its description in RNAcentral is "SSU rRNA". It matches the Rfam family "Eukaryotic small subunit ribosomal RNA", at positions 569 to 1077 of the family's 1831-position model. Lineage: Eukaryota; Fungi; Glomeromycota; Glomeromycetes; Glomerales; Glomeraceae. The record is from RNAcentral.
AGCAGCCGCGGUAAUUCCAGCUCCAAUAGCGUAUAUUAAAGUUGUUGCAGUUAAAAAGCUCGUAGUUGAAUUUCGGAAUCAGUACGCUGGUCGUGCCUUCGGUAUGUACUGGUGUCACUGAUUCCUCCCUUCUGAAGAACCAUCAUGCCAUUCACUUGGUGUGGUGGGGAAUCAGGACUGUUACUUUGAAAAAAUUAGAGUGUUUAAAGCAGGCUCGCGCUUGAAUACAUUAGCAUGGAAUAAUGAAAUAGGACGUUAAUCCUAUUUUGUUGGUUUCUAGGAUCGACGUAAUGAUUAAUAGGGAUAGUUGGGGGCAUUAGUAUUCAAUUGUCAGAGGUGAAAUUCUUGGAUUUAUUGAAGACUAACUACUGCGAAAGCAUUUGCCAAGGAUGUUUUCAUUAAUCAAGAACGAAAGUUAGGGGAUCGAAGACGAUCAGAUACCGUCGUAGUCUUAACCAUAAACUAUGCCGACUAGGGAUCGGAUGAUGUUAAUUUUUUAAUGA